This is a long non-coding RNA of Seriola dumerili (greater amberjack), 411 nucleotides long. RefSeq lists it as uncharacterized. The record is from RefSeq and is a predicted model, not a curated record. Lineage: Eukaryota; Metazoa; Chordata; Actinopteri; Carangiformes; Carangidae. The transcript is spliced from 3 exons.
CACGGAGCGGAGAGUCGACGAGCCCGACGCAGGAGACUUUACACAAGAAUCGGUGGGAUUAAACGCCUGUGUCUGGUUACAAAGCUGCGGGAAUGUGGACCGGAGUUACUGCGAUGAACUAGCGUCGAAAGAAGAGACUCGUCUCCUGGAGAGAGCGAAGGAAGCGGGAGGAAAGAGAGGUCAGUGGUUGUGAUGUUGCUUCCUCUGCUUCAAGACUACAUUUCCCAUGGAGCCGUGCGCCGAAACACACACUAUUCUACCAUGGAGCCACCAGUCAGGGUUUUGGACCCUCAGAGCUAGUGACACAGAAGAGGACCAGAUAUUGUGAUAUCACCUCCAAAACCACAACUCCAUCUCCCUCCGGUCCUCCAGCUGACCCUCCUUCUCUCUGAGAUCAGGACCGGCUCCCUG